UUAGUUCCCAAUUUCUCCUCCCACUCUUUCGACUCCAAAUACAACUUGGACACUUCCAUCGAAACCCGACCCAUAUCCGGUCUCUCAUUCGGAUCAUCCCCAACACACUCCAACCCGACCCGAAUCAUUUUCUCAGCCACAUCCAUCGGAAACGAAUCCUUCAACCUCCGAUCAACCCAUUUUCUUACACCACCGUGCUCCUUCCACGCUUCCUUCGCCGUCUCCACUACACUCACCCUCUUAUACCCGCCUUCGUUUCCCUCCAAUUCAAAUCUCACCGCUUCUUCCCCGCUCAGAAUCUCCAAAACCACCACGCCAAAUGCGUAAACAUCCGUCUUCUGCGUCGCCACGCCAGUAACAAGAAACUCCGGCGCCAUAUACCCUCUCGUUCCCUCAAAUCUCACUCCCUUGCUACCGGACUUCUUCAACUUCCUCCCGGAGUCCGAUCCGGCAGUAUCAUCGACAGACUCGCCACAAAGCUCCGACGUACCGAAGUGACAAAUCUUCACACCAAAAUUCUCCUCCGCAACGAUGAUGCUAGAGCUUUUGAUAUGAUUAUGAACAAAACCAGAACCAGAACCAGCAAAAUUAUGAACGUAAUCAAGACCGUGAGCAAGAUCGGAAGCAAUCAGCAUCCUCGAAGUCCACGUAUUAAGAUCGGUGAAGCUAGGAUUCCGACGAUUACGAAGACAAUCAGAAAGAUUAGCACCGGGAACAAAGUCAUAAACAAGAUAAAUGUAGCUCCCGGAGACAGAAGCUCCGAGAAGUUUGACGAGACUACUAUGGUGACUCCGGCAGAUAAGAGCAAGUCGAUCACGAAGCUCAGGGAGGUGAAUUUGGCGACGGAAUUUCCGUUGAAAAACAACGACGUCGCGGUUGUGAAGAGAACAGCGGAAGGAGUUGGAGGAGAGACGGUUGGCAGAGAAGUUAUUGGUGGCGGAUGAGAUAUCGGAGAAAGGGUAGAUGUGAGGGUUUUCAGGGAGAGCAUGUUUGAGGCUUGAGAGAGAAGAGUGAGUUGAAAUGGAAGAAGAUGAUGAAGAGGUUUUGGACCAUUGUUUUUGCUUUGAGUUGUUGUAUAUGUAACUUCUUGAUUCUGUGAUUGGAACUUCGCUGGUUGAAGAUGAUGGGAGAUUUGAGGAUGAAGAUGUUGUUGAGGUCCGUUGUGGGUGAGGGUUGUUUCUGGUUGUGGGUUGCACCACGGUGGUGCUCUUUUUCGAUUUGCACAUCGAACUAACAGUAGUUUCUGACUCAUUUAAAUGGGUAUUUCUUGUUUUUUUUACAAGAAACUUCAUAAUAUUAUUAUUAUUAUGGGAACAACAAAAAAAAG
RNAcentral lists this long non-coding RNA (1327 nucleotides) under Medicago truncatula (barrel medic). Its description in RNAcentral is "lncRNA gene5521". Lineage: Eukaryota; Viridiplantae; Streptophyta; Magnoliopsida; Fabales; Fabaceae. The record is from RNAcentral.